This 20-nucleotide microRNA is filed under the name Spodoptera frugiperda (fall armyworm). RNAcentral describes it as "sfr-miR-10514-3p". Lineage: Eukaryota; Metazoa; Arthropoda; Insecta; Lepidoptera; Noctuidae. The record is from miRBase by way of RNAcentral.
CGGGUCGUCAAUUUCGGGCC